CCUACGGGUGGCUGCAGUGAGGAAUAUUGGUCAAUGGCCGGAAGGCUGAACCAGCCAAGCAGCGUGAAGGAUGAAGGUGCCAAGCAUUGUAAACUUCUUUUGUCUAGGGAUAAAAUCUUGCACGUGAGCCUGUUUGUAGGUACUUGAUGAAUAAGCAUCGGCUAACUCCGUGCCAGCAGCCGCGGUAAUACGGAGGAUGCGAGCGUUAUCCGGAUUUAUUGGGUUUAAAGGGUGCGUAGGUGGAGUGUUAAGUCAGUGGUGAAAGUUCGGGGCUCAACCCUAAGAUGGCAUUUGAAACGGGCAGUCUUGAGUCGAGGAGAGGUGUGCGGAAUGCGCGGUGUAGCGGUGAAAUGCUUAGAUAUUACGAAGAACUCCGAGUGCGAAGGCAGCAUACUGGCGGGGAACUGACACUGAGGCUCGAAAGCGUGGGUAUCAAACAGGAUUAGAUACCCUGGUAGUC
RNAcentral lists this ribosomal RNA (460 nucleotides) under uncultured bacterium. Its description in RNAcentral is "partial 16S ribosomal RNA". It matches the Rfam family "Bacterial small subunit ribosomal RNA", at positions 338 to 795 of the family's 1533-position model. The record is from RNAcentral.